Molecule: ribosomal RNA, 2921 nt
Filed under: Streptococcus pneumoniae
Lineage: Bacteria; Bacillati; Bacillota; Bacilli; Lactobacillales; Streptococcaceae
Also listed under: 3 other names
Description: bacterial LSU rRNA
Rfam family: Bacterial large subunit ribosomal RNA
Source: RNAcentral
UUAAGUUAGAAAGGGCGCACGGUGGAUGCCUUGACACUAGGAGUCGAUGAAGGACGGGACUAACGCCGAUAUGCUUCGGGGAGCUGUAAGUAAGCUUUGAUCCGAAGAUUUCCGAAUGGGGAAACCCACCAUACGUAAUGGUAUGGUAUCCUUAUCUGAAUACAUAGGGUAAGGAAGACAGACCCAGGGAACUGAAACAUCUAAGUACCUGGAGGAAGAGAAAGCAAAUGCGAUUUCCUGAGUAGCGGCGAGCGAAACGGAACAUAGCCCAAACCAAGAGGCUUGCCUCUUGGGGUUGUAGGACAUUCUAUACGGAGUUACAAAGGAACGAGGUAGACGAAGCGACCUGGAAAGGUCCGUCGUAGAGGGUAACAACCCCGUAGUCGAAACUUCGUUCUCUCUUGAAUGUAUCCUGAGUACGGCGGAACACGUGAAAUUCCGUCGGAAUCUGGGAGGACCAUCUCCCAAGGCUAAAUACUCCCUAGUGAUCGAUAGUGAACCAGUACCGUGAGGGAAAGGUGAAAAGCACCCCGGAAGGGGAGUGAAAGAGAUCCUGAAACCGUGUGCCUACAAAUAGUCAGAGCCCGUUAACGGGUGAUGGCGUGCCUUUUGUAGAAUGAACCGGCGAGUUACGAUCCCGUGCGAGGUUAAGCUGAAGAGGCGGAGCCGCAGCGAAAGCGAGUCUGAAUAGGGCGUUUAGUACGUGGUCGUAGACCCGAAACCAGGUGAUCUACCCAUGUCCAGGGUGAAGUUCAGGUAACACUGAAUGGAGGCCCGAACCCACGCACGUUGAAAAGUGCGGGGAUGAGGUGUGGGUAGCGGAGAAAUUCCAAUCGAACCUGGAGAUAGCUGGUUCUCCCCGAAAUAGCUUUAGGGCUAGCCUUAAGUGUAAGAGUCUUGGAGGUAGAGCACUGAUUGGACUAGGGGUCCUCAUCGGAUUACCGAAUUCAGUCAAACUCCGAAUGCCAAUGACUUAUCCUUAGGAGUCAGACUGCGAGUGAUAAGAUCCGUAGUCAAAAGGGAAACAGCCCAGACCGCCAGCUAAGGUCCCAAAGUGUGUAUUAAGUGGAAAAGGAUGUGGAGUUGCUUAGACAACUAGGAUGUUGGCUUAGAAGCAGCCACCAUUUAAAGAGUGCGUAAUAGCUCACUAGUCGAGUGACUCUGCGCCGAAAAUGUACCGGGGCUAAAUACACCACCGAAGCUGCGGAUUGAUACCGAAUGGUAUCAGUGGUAGGGGAGCGUUCUAAGGACAGUGAAGUCAGACCGGAAGGACUGGUGGAGUGCUUAGAAGUGAGAAUGCCGGUAUGAGUAGCGAAAGACGGGUGAGAAUCCCGUCCACCGAAUGCCUAAGGUUUCCUGAGGAAGGCUCGUCCGCUCAGGGUUAGUCAGGACCUAAGCCGAGGCCGACAGGCGUAGGCGAUGGACAACAGGUUGAUAUUCCUGUACCACCUCUUUAUCGUUUGAGCAAUGGAGGGACGCAGAAGGAUAGAAGAAGCGUGCGAUUGGUUGUGCACGUCCAAGCAGUUAGGCUGAUAAGUAGGCAAAUCCGCUUAUCGUGAAGGCUGAGCUGUGAUGGGGAAGCUCCUUAUGGAGCGAAGUCUUUGAUUCCCCGCUGCCAAGAAAAGCUUCUAGCGAGAUAAAAGGUGCCUGUACCGCAAACCGACACAGGUAGGCGAGGAGAGAAUCCUAAGGUGUGCGAGAGAACUCUGGUUAAGGAACUCGGCAAAAUGACCCCGUAACUUCGGGAGAAGGGGUGCUUUCUUAACGGAAAGCCGCAGUGAAUAGGCCCAAGCGACUGUUUAGCAAAAACACAGCUCUCUGCGAAGCCGUAAGGCGAAGUAUAGGGGGUGACACCUGCCCGGUGCUGGAAGGUUAAGGAGAGGGGUUAGCGUAAGCGAAGCUCUGAACUGAAGCCCCAGUAAACGGCGGCCGUAACUAUAACGGUCCUAAGGUAGCGAAAUUCCUUGUCGGGUAAGUUCCGACCCGCACGAAAGGUGUAACGAUUUGGGCACUGUCUCAACCAGAGACUCGGUGAAAUUAUAGUACCUGUGAAGAUGCAGGUUACCCGCGACAGGACGGAAAGACCCCGUGGAGCUUUACUGUAGCCUGAUAUUGAAUUUUGGUACAGUUUGUACAGGAUAGGCGGGAGCCUUUGAAACCGGAGCGCUAGCUUCGGUGGAGGCGCUGGUGGGAUACCGCCCUGACUGUAUUGAAAUUCUAACCUACGGGUCUUAUCGACCCGGGAGACAGUGUCAGGUGGGCAGUUUGACUGGGGCGGUCGCCUCCUAAAGUGUAACGGAGGCGCCCAAAGGUUCCCUCAGAAUGGUUGGAAAUCAUUCGUAGAGUGCAAAGGCAUAAGGGAGCUUGACUGCGAGACCUACAAGUCGAGCAGGGACGAAAGUCGGGCUUAGUGAUCCGGUGGUUCCGCAUGGAAGGGCCAUCGCUCAACGGAUAAAAGCUACCCCGGGGAUAACAGGCUUAUCUCCCCCAAGAGUCCACAUCGACGGGGAGGUUUGGCACCUCGAUGUCGGCUCAUCGCAUCCUGGGGCUGUAGUCGGUCCCAAGGGUUGGGCUGUUCGCCCAUUAAAGCGGUACGCGAGCUGGGUUCAGAACGUCGUGAGACAGUUCGGUCCCUAUCCGUCGUGGGCGUAGGAAAUUUGAGAGGAGCUGUCCUUAGUACGAGAGGACCGGGAUGGACGCACCGCUGGUGUACCAGUUGUUCUGCCAAGGGCAUAGCUGGGUAGCUAUGUGCGGAAGGGAUAAGUGCUGAAAGCAUCUAAGCAUGAAGCCCCCCUCAAGAUGAGAUUUCCCAUAGCGUAAGCUAGUAAGAUCCCUGAAAGAUGAUCAGGUUGAUAGGUUCGAGGUGGAAGCAUGGUGACAUGUGGAGCUGACGAAUACUAAUAGAUCGAGGACUUAACCAU